This is a long non-coding RNA of Medicago truncatula (barrel medic), 563 nucleotides long. RefSeq lists it as uncharacterized. The transcript is spliced from 2 exons. Lineage: Eukaryota; Viridiplantae; Streptophyta; Magnoliopsida; Fabales; Fabaceae. The record is from RefSeq and is a predicted model, not a curated record.
AUUUUAGGGAGUGUUUUUUUACAACUCCUUAAAAACAAUCAAUGAAUACUAAACUGUUUUUAGCUCAACAUGUGCUUUAUACACUAUAAAUUUAUCAAAUAAUAUUUUAUUUGUUACAUACAAAGAGAGAAAAACAUGGUUAAAACUUUCAAUUUUGUGUGUACUAUGGUUUUAUUAUUUUUUCUAUUUCUUACUGCAAAGAAAGUUUAUGCAUAUCAUCUAUGUAAAACUCGUUUUGAUUGUCCAAGAACCUAUUUAUUGUUCUUUCCUCGUAUGUGGAAGUGCAUUAACCGUCGAUGUAGAUAUGUAUAUUUUUUCGAAUGAUGAUACUAGUUGUACGAGUACAAGACCCAAGAGAGUACACAAACACCAUGGAGGGAAGAAUGAAUUCUUAUAUUGGUAAAAAAUAUAUGCAAUAUACUUUUUGCUAGAAUACUUAGUAGUUGCCAAUUAGUUAUUGUGAUGACACUGAAUAAAUGUAAUUUUGCUUAUUUUUAUUAUAAAUGUAAUUUUGUAAUCCAAAAAGUCAAAAAUGAAAUGAAAUAAAGAACUACAGAAUGUAA